This is a non-coding RNA of Lupinus albus (white lupine), 743 nucleotides long. The record is from the annotation of a GenBank genome assembly. NCBI's taxonomy places the organism in Eukaryota, Viridiplantae, Streptophyta, Magnoliopsida, Fabales, Fabaceae.
GGGUAUCUCUUACAAAGUGAGGUGAGGGAAGAAUCCAAAUAUGUCCUUAUCCCUAGGCUAAGUUCUUCUUAGUUCACUUCAUUCUUCGGAUAAUAUUCUACAUAUCAACUAAGCUACUUCACUCACUUAUUUAAGCUACUUCACUUCAUUCUUCCCAUAAUAUCUAGGAUGGCUUCUUCACACAUUGCCAUACUUUUCUGUCAAUAAUUUAAACAGGACUAUGAACAUGCAUUUCUUCCCACCCAAGCUCAAGGGUGUGUAGUUGUUGAUCCUACAUACCAACAGAUAUAUGUGAAACUAAUUAUUAAUGGAAAACUUCACAAAUUUAGUCUCCCUUGACUUGAUAGUGAUGGAAAAUCAAGGAGUUUUCAACAACUUACUUCUCGCAUCUUUUCAAUCUGCUCCUUACACCCACCAACAUCAUUGUAAGUGACAUCAGGCUUUUCUUCAACUGUCAUCAUGGUAACACUGGGGUCGAUUUUCGGAGGCAAGGGGAUUUGAAUCUGAUAUUUGUUUCUGUCAACCCUGCAAUAAUAAAAUGAAGGUAUCAAUUAAACAGACACAUGUAUGGCUUAAAAGACACAUGUUUCUGUCAACCCUGUAACAUUUGUGUUUUUAAUCAUUUGAAUGUAUGGCUUAAAAGACACAUGUAUGUACGAGUAAUGCGAACGUACGAGUAACAUAUGUAUAAGUAACAUGUACUCUUCUUAACAAUGUGAAUAUACGAGUAACAUUUGUAUUUU